CCGGGAAACGUCGUGCAAAGACGGAGGGCUCAACUGGAAUCUCUCAGGAGCACCCCAGAAAGCAGGGCGCCCUGACCUCAGACAGCCCUGAGGUGGUGGCCACAGAGGAGCUGAACACCCAUACCCCCACACCACCACCCACAGCGGAUGUGGGCCGAACCAGCGCCCCAGGGCACGACCUGCUACCUGUGAAAGUGUCCAGUGUCCCAGUCAAGAAGUGGUACCAGAUUGACUUCAGCCCUGCUGCUUUCUGCAAGAGGGUUUUCCAGUCCGUAUACUCUGAGCCUUCGACACGGUCUGACUCCAGCGCAAAGAAACCACAUAUCAGCGACAGAAGGGUGGCAGCUGUAGAAACAGAGAGGGAAACAUGUG
This is a long non-coding RNA of Megalops cyprinoides (Indo-Pacific tarpon), 372 nucleotides long. RefSeq lists it as uncharacterized. NCBI's taxonomy places the organism in Eukaryota, Metazoa, Chordata, Actinopteri, Elopiformes, Megalopidae. The transcript is spliced from 3 exons. The record is from RefSeq and is a predicted model, not a curated record.